Alosa alosa (allis shad) is the source of this 381-nucleotide non-coding RNA. The record is from the annotation of a RefSeq genome assembly. Lineage: Eukaryota; Metazoa; Chordata; Actinopteri; Clupeiformes; Clupeidae.
AUGUGCAGCCUUCUCAUUCUGCUUUUCACACUGAUAGGUGACAGUUUUCAAGCUGACAUCACUUCAACCUCUACAGAACUUCUUGUCUCAGAGGGUGAAACAGCUUCUCUCUCCUGCACAUACAGUGUUGCUGUGGACAAUCUGCAAUGGUAUCGCCAGAAUCCAGGAUCUAAACCAGAAUUCAUCAUCAUGUUGUUUGAAUCCAACAGUGAUCCAGUGAAAUCAACUCCUCCUCAUCCUCGUGCCUCUGGUAAAGUGGAUAAAGACUCUAAACAGGUUCAUCUGAAUAUCUCAUCUGCUGAAGUCUCAGACUCUGCUGUCUACUACUGCGCUCUGAGGCCCACAGUGACAGGAAACCCUACAACACUGUACAAAAACUAA